GAUGAACGCUGGCGGCGUGCCUAAUACAUGCAAGUCGAGCGAACAGACGAGGAGCUUGCUCCUCUGACGUUAGCGGCGGACGGGUGAGUAACACGUGGAUAACCUACCUAUAAGACGGGGAUAACUUCGGGAAACCGGAGCUAAUACCGGAUAAUAUAUUGAACCGCAUGGUUCAAUAGUGAAAGACGGUUUUGCUGUCACUUAUAGAUGGAUCCGCGCCGCAUUAGCUAGUUGGUAAGGUAACGGCUUACGAAGGCAACGAUGCGUAGCCGACCUGAUAGGGUGAUCGGCCACACUGGAACUGAGACACGGUCCAGACUCCUACGGGAGGCAGCAGUAGGGAAUCUUACGCAAUGGGCGAGAGCCUGACGGAGCAACGCCGCGUGAGUGAUGAAGGUCUUCGGAUCGUAAAGCUCUGUUAUUAGGGAAGAACAAAUGUGUAAGUAACUAUGCACGUCUUGACGGUACCUAAUCAGAAAGCCACGGCUAACUACGUG
RNAcentral lists this ribosomal RNA (497 nucleotides) under uncultured bacterium. RNAcentral's name for it is "partial 16S ribosomal RNA". It matches the Rfam family "Bacterial small subunit ribosomal RNA", at positions 28 to 507 of the family's 1533-position model. The record is from RNAcentral.